AUGUACACUCUUUGUUUUUUAGCCGAUGUACACUCUUUGUUGGAAGACCGAGGGAGUACACGUGCAUGCACUCACAUACACAGCCAGGGUGGUUCGCGCGCAAGGGUUGGACUCCUGUCGCGCCUGUGUACGAGAUUGCCAGACAUUGUGAUCGUCCUUGAUCAGCAAAAAGAGUAUAUAGCUCUUCGGGAAUGUGCCAUUUUGGGGAUUCCUACUAUUUCUUUAGUCGAUACAAAUUGUGACCCGGAUCUCGCGAAUAUAAGUUUUGUUUAA
RNAcentral lists this ribosomal RNA (273 nucleotides) under Triticum aestivum (bread wheat). RNAcentral's name for it is "partial small subunit ribosomal RNA". The record is from RNAcentral. Lineage: Eukaryota; Viridiplantae; Streptophyta; Magnoliopsida; Poales; Poaceae.